ACAAUAUUCCGCUGUCAAGGUUUGAUAAGAAUAUUUG
Molecule: regulatory RNA element, 37 nt
Rfam family: Ribosomal protein L19 leader
About the family: This family is a putative r-protein leader autoregulatory structure found in B. subtilis and other low-GC Gram-positive bacteria. It is located in the 5' untranslated regions of mRNAs encoding ribosomal protein L19 (rplS).
Source: Rfam